CCACACGUAAGGAAAUGAACUCAUUUUUGAAAGAAAUAUUUGAAACGAUAAAAAAAAAAGAAUAAUUAUAAUAUAUAUAUAAAAGAAAAAAAAUUGCUUUAAAGAAAAACCACGGAACCCACCCCCACCACCAUUCCUAUUUCCUAAUUCUAGAAUUUAGAAACCUAUUAGAAAUUAAACUAACUUGGUUUUUUUAAAACCCACGUAGCUCCACACCCCAAUUACCUUUUCCCAAUUCAGAAAAAAACAAAAUUGUAUCCCUUCUCUUCCACUCUCGUUCAACUUCUUCAUUCCCGGUGGUACAGAAAAGCCUCCCUUCAUUCCCUUCAAUUUUCAUUCUUCAUCAGAGCCACACAAAAUCCUACCAUUAAAUACAUGCUGUUGAAGGACAUUUGGGUUUUCACGUGGGAGAGUUUUGGGACAAUUAUUGAGAGUUAGGGUUUGUGAUUUGAUGAAGGAGAAGAGUAUCCAGCACUUCAAAAUUGUCGAUUUGAUUUCUUGGAGAUCCGUCGGUUAGUGGUUUGUUUGGCUGUCGCGCAGUUGUGGAGAGCAAUCGUGAUUGGUUCUUCGUAACUAUUUUCAGGCAACUGAGUAGCAGACCAUUGUUAGAUUCAGAUCAUUCGACUUAUUUCCUUUGACAGGUUGUCAUAUUGAUGUCUUUUAUUUAGUCAUGGUUAUCUGCAGCUAUAGGGAGUCCUAGGUGGAUUUAGAUUUGAGAUUUUGAUUUAUUAUUUUAUUUUAAGAGUUGACACUGGAGUACUCGAGUUAAUUUGAUAUUUUACUUGAAAUACUGGUUA
This is a long non-coding RNA of Lotus japonicus, 797 nucleotides long. RefSeq lists it as uncharacterized. The record is from RefSeq and is a predicted model, not a curated record. NCBI's taxonomy places the organism in Eukaryota, Viridiplantae, Streptophyta, Magnoliopsida, Fabales, Fabaceae. The transcript is spliced from 3 exons.